GGCCCCGUUGGUCAAGCGGUUAAGACACCGCCCUUUCACGGCGGUAACACGGGUUCGAAUCCCGUACGGGUCA
This 73-nucleotide transfer RNA is filed under the name Bacillus velezensis. Its description in RNAcentral is "tRNA-Glu". It matches the Rfam family "tRNA". Rfam says of the family: Transfer RNA (tRNA) molecules are approximately 80 nucleotides in length. Their secondary structure includes four short double-helical elements and three loops (D, anti-codon, and T loops). Lineage: Bacteria; Bacillati; Bacillota; Bacilli; Caryophanales; Bacillaceae. The record is from RNAcentral.